GCCGCCGGAAGAACCGCAGGAGGGGAGACCUCAAGAUCUCGGGUGUACGCUGAGUCCAUACACCUUCGGAUGUUUUACAAAAUCUUGUGAGAUUAAGCCUGCAUGUUAACCAACCCUACGACUGUAGGAUCUACGUGUUUGAACUCUGUAGAACUGGUUUGCACUAAGGUGCUUGAGCCUUGACGUUGCGUGCUUGGGAUGAGAGUAGCAGCACGUGUGCACUCACUUAUCAUUAUAUGUGGAACCAAUGCUUUAUGGCUAAAUGUUUGGAUGUGGAGACUUUGAUGUUGUUUUAGUUUCUCUCAUGUGGUUCUGUUUGCGAAAUGUUUAUUUCACUCUAGUGAAAUCUUUGCUAUUCUAUCUGAACGAUUUCUGUUGCUUCUGCGUAUUCUAUUAUAUGUUUGUGCUGUCGUGUGGUAAUUCCCCAGAGGAUUAUUCUAUAUUCUUCUGGGGUGUUAUAGUUGGUAAUCAGAGCCUAGGUUAUAGGUUCUAGGCUGAAAGCAUCUAGGCCCUUAGUGGGUUUUUGGAGUAUUGAUUGACAACACAAUUAAAUGACUAACUUGUUUGCAUGAGAUUAUGAGCAGUGAUUUAAUUGAGAAAUUGGUACGAAAUGA
Molecule: long non-coding RNA, 614 nt
Organism: Panicum virgatum (switchgrass)
Lineage: Eukaryota; Viridiplantae; Streptophyta; Magnoliopsida; Poales; Poaceae
Exons: 2
Source: RefSeq, a predicted model, not a curated record